UACAGUACAAGUUCAUCUCAUCACACCAUAAUGUUGCUCCACACAGUUAUUCUGCUCUGGGCAUUCGGAUGUGGAGUGUUCGGGAGUAUCAUUACACCAGACCAAACUGAGGUCUUAAAGGAAGAGGGUACCAAUGUAACUCUGUCCUGUAGCUACUCAACAGCCAUUAGUGUACAGUGGUAUCGACAGUAUCCCAAAUCCGCCCCUGAAUAUCUUUUAUUAAUCCUGCAAACCUCGGGACGUGUCCAGAGUGCAGAAGAACUGGAUCCUCGGUAUUCCGCAAGACUAAAUGAAAAGAAAACUCAAGUGUAUUUGGAGAUCUCAUCUGUUAAAGUCGCAGACUCUGCUUUGUAUUAUUGUGCACUGACGCCCACAGUGACAGGAAACACAACAGCACUGUACAAAAACCUGACAAACACAUGGCCCAGUAGGUUAGUUUCGCAGUAACCCACAGUUUUCAUCCACAGUUUUCUUUUUUUUCUUCCUUUAAUCCUUGUAAUUUUUUAAUUACAUGAAUAUUAUGUACAGA
Molecule: non-coding RNA, 529 nt
Organism: Misgurnus anguillicaudatus (oriental weatherfish)
Lineage: Eukaryota; Metazoa; Chordata; Actinopteri; Cypriniformes; Cobitidae
Source: the annotation of a RefSeq genome assembly